CUGAGGGCAGACCAUGAGCACGCUGAGUGUGUGAAUAGGUGCAAGCAAUUUGUGAGCAAAUGAGGAACAAACUCUCACAUUCACUUGUAAAGUAUUCAGGCUCAAUGCUGUGGCCAAACGGAUCUAAAAACAUCGCAGGCUCUAAUAGAUGUAUGUUUCUGUGGUUUGGUUGUGUGAUUCACCGGAAAUGCUAUCUGUGGUAUUCUGAGAAGCAGUUCGGCAAAAUGAUACGUGAGUACAUCAAAGUUCACUUAGACAAGCAUCUUCUUUGGAGUCGGUCUUAUAGGAUUGUUCUUCAUCAUGGCUGGACGCCUGCUGUUUGUCACCCUCAUGUAUUCCUGUGCCAAUACUAAAACACAAGCUCGUCCUCAACUCAUAAUGAAUUCAGCGGUGAUCUCAGAGACGGAAACAGUCACAUUGGACUGUCGAGCUCCAUCAUAUCCUACUGUCCACCAGUGUUAUUUCACCAUUAUCGGAGCAAAACAUGCCAAAGGCUUCACUUGUGUGCAGACACUGACAGGAACUGAACUGUUGAGGAUGUCAGACCAGAGAGCACCUGCUGAGGUUAAAGUGGAUUGUUAUUACACUGUAAUGGUUGGAGACGUGAAUCAUCCAUCUGCACACAGUGUCACAUCAUCCAUCACAAUCCAAAAUGUUGUCAAGUCGAGCACGACGCAGACUAAGACGGCAUCUGCUGUGACCACAGCAGGUCUUUGUGCUUCCAGGCCUGUAACUACUGUAAAGCAAACAUCAGCAGAUCAAACCUUUGGACCAAGAAACUCUGGUAGUUUUAGUUCUCCUCCCCUCACAACAGACAAACCAACAUCAGAUGUUGUCGAGUCGAGCACGACGCAGACUAAGCCGGCAUCUACUGUGACCACAGCAGGUCUCAGUGCUUCCACGCCUGUAACUCGUAUAAAGCAAACAUCAGCAGAUCAAACCUUUGGACCAAGAAACUCUGGUAGUUUUAGUUCUCCUCCCCUCACAACAGACAAACCAACAUCAGGUGACACAAAGACUCACAUUUCUUUAUUUUUUUUUACAUUUCAAUAUUUGGUGACACAAAUACAUUUCUAUAUUGUUUUUUCCAAAUAUUUAUUUAAUAUUCUUACCACUGAACUCUUUUUUAGAACCAGGAGUUGAAAUUAAAGUGGGCUGUGAUCAUGUGUUUCUGCUUGGUUUGAGUAGUACGUAAUGCUCUGAAAUUAGACAGUAAAGACCUGUUUCUGAUUAUAUAUCAGAAUUUCAUGAUGAAGCUUGCGUGCAACGUUAACAGUUAAAUUGUCAGUUGAGAAGCAACACUUUGCCUCUCCUUUUUUAGAUUGUGUUCUCUUUUUGUAGGCAUUCAGUAUUUUCACACUCCUUCUUGCUUCUGUGUUUGUUGUGAAACUGAAACUGAGAUGAUUGUGGCUUCCGAAACAGAAAUGCAGAGAUGGAUGUUCAUGGUGAUUGCGAUUUGUUUGGGAGGUUUUUUCUCUAUUUCCUUACUGGGACUGGGCCUUCUGUGUAGAAAAAGAACAUUGGGUAAGAACUUGACUUAUGUGUCAGAAAUCAUUGAGUUAUUCUUUGCUCCCUGCUGCUUGAUGAACUGACAAAGAAUUUGAGCAGAGGGUCAAAAGAGGCACUAAAGACCCUUUUGAACACAACUUGCACAUAACUCUGUUUAGAGAACAGCAUCGUUUACCACAUUUGCAUUAAUGUCAUUGGAUGUUAGUAGUUCCUCACCUGUAAGUAUUCCAGAGAGAGCUGGACUUCCAAGCAAACUGCCUUAUGUAACAAUAUGCUUUUCUCUCUGUUGUGUUUUUCAGAAAGAUGUUCUUAUAAGAGGUCACAAGCUGAUGUCACUGGUAAUAUGCACACGUAGUCAGACAUCAUCACUGAAUUAUUUCUAUACACAUUUAGAAUGUGGUCUUUCUGUUCUGUCACAUUUGCAGGUUCUGUGAAACUGGAGGAGCAAACAUUUACAAAUGAGAAUCCCAUAUACCAUCUCUACUCCACUAUCCCCGACGAGCCGCCUGCAUCAGCCCAGGAGGAAGCGAUGUACAGCUACCUGCAGCCACAGUUGAAGCACUAGCCUUUUAUACUGUAGAGAAACUGUUUGAGCGGAAAGUCUUCUUUAAUCCAUUUAUUUUACAUUUUUUAAACAUAAUAUUCUUUGCAAAAAUGCAAUGCCAAUUGUAACUAAUGAACAACAGGUCUCAGCUGGGUGGCACACUUGAUAUUUUGUUUUACAGGGAGAAAAGAUUAUUGAAUUUUUAUAUUGAAUUACAGAGAAUGGACGUUUACUUUUUGCAAUUGUUGAAUAUGUGCAAAGGUUUCAUUUUGUGAAGUUGGAGGCUGUUGAUUAGCACUACAUUGUAGACAGCUUCUUCUUUCUCUUUAAAGAUUCAAGUCAAAGAUGGGUCAGGAUUUUCUUCUGCAUGCUGUCAUAAAACAGCAUAAGCUUGCUUCUUUAGGACCUGUAACACGAUGCCUGCUCAAUAGAAUUAAACAAUUAAAAAAAUAAGAUAACCAGAGCUGCCAACUUUUCAAAAAACCUUGGAGUGAGAUUUUGUCGGGGGUGACCAAAAUUUUGCCGCGCACGCAGCCACACACGUUGGUGGCUCAAAUAUCA
This is a long non-coding RNA of Gasterosteus aculeatus aculeatus (three-spined stickleback), 2614 nucleotides long. Lineage: Eukaryota; Metazoa; Chordata; Actinopteri; Perciformes; Gasterosteidae. The record is from Ensembl.